GUCCGUGGUCUGUGGUGCAAUCAAGUCUGUGCUCACUAACUCUCACCUUUGCCCUGAACCUCUUAGCCGACUUCCAGCGCCGGAUUCUUUGUCAUGAAACUGUGUUUGACUGUAGAAGCUGAGUUGGGGGUACAUCACUGAAAAAAGGUUGAGAAGCACUGAUCUAGUCCAAGGAUGGGUUUUGGAAGAUUCCAGCCAGGAAGCUCACCACCUGCUGUGUCUGGGCAGGUAAGAGACUCUCCAGCCAACACCUGCAUCACAUGGACUGUACUGAC
Molecule: long non-coding RNA, 275 nt
Organism: Nerophis ophidion (straightnose pipefish)
Lineage: Eukaryota; Metazoa; Chordata; Actinopteri; Syngnathiformes; Syngnathidae
Exons: 3
Source: RefSeq, a predicted model, not a curated record